UGUACCCCCCAUUGUAACACGUGUGUAGCCCCGGACGCAAGGGCCGUGCUGAUUUGACGUCAUCCCCACCUUCCUCACAUCUUACGAUGGCAGUCUUGUCAGAGUCCUCAGCGGAACCUGUUAGUAACUGACAACAAGGGUUGCGCUCGUUAUGGCACUUAAGCCGACACCUCACGGCACGAGCUGACGACAACCAUGCAGCACCUUCACAAAGGUCCGAAGACUAAUCUGUUUCCAGAUUAUUCCUUUGCAAUUUAAGCCCGGGUAAGGUUCCUCGCGUAUCAUCGAAUUAAACCACAUGUUCCUCCG
This 309-nucleotide ribosomal RNA is filed under the name uncultured Bacteroidales bacterium. RNAcentral's name for it is "partial 16S ribosomal RNA". The record is from RNAcentral. Lineage: Bacteria; Pseudomonadati; Bacteroidota; Bacteroidia; Bacteroidales.